GAUGAACGCUGGCGGGCGCGCCUAACACAUGCAAGUCGACGGUUAAAAGCAGUCUUCGGAUGUGUAUAAAGUGGCGAACGGCUGAGUACACGUGGGCAACCUGCCCUUUGCACUGGGAUAGCCUCGGGAAACCGAGGUUAAUACCGGAUACUCCAAUAUUUGUCGCAUGGCGAAUAUGGGAAAGCUCCGGCGGCAAAGGAUGGGCCCGCGGCCUGUUAGCUAGUUGGUGGGGUAGUGGCCUACCAAGGCAAUGAUGGUAGCCGGUUGAGAGACCGACCGGCCAGAUUGGGACUGAGACACGGCCCAGACUCCUACGGGAGGCAGCAGUGGGGAAUCUUGCACAAUGGGCGAAAGCCUGAUGCAGCGACGCCGCGUGCGGGAUGAAGGCCUUCGGGUUGUAAACCGCUUUCAGCAGGGACGAGGCCGCAAGGUGACGGUACCUGCAGAAGAAGCCCCGGGCUAACUACGUGCCAGCAGCCGCGGUAAAU
RNAcentral lists this ribosomal RNA (488 nucleotides) under uncultured Atopobium sp. RNAcentral's name for it is "bacterial SSU rRNA". It matches the Rfam family "Bacterial small subunit ribosomal RNA", at positions 28 to 525 of the family's 1533-position model. Lineage: Bacteria; Bacillati; Actinomycetota; Coriobacteriia; Coriobacteriales; Atopobiaceae. The record is from RNAcentral.